GGCCUCUUGGUCUAGUGGUAUGAUUCUCGCUUUGGGUCUAUUUAUCUCAACCUGCGAGAGGCCCCGGGUUCGAAUCCCGGAGAGGCCC
This 88-nucleotide transfer RNA is filed under the name Xylaria longipes. RNAcentral describes it as "tRNA-Pro". It matches the Rfam family "tRNA". Rfam says of the family: Transfer RNA (tRNA) molecules are approximately 80 nucleotides in length. Their secondary structure includes four short double-helical elements and three loops (D, anti-codon, and T loops). The record is from RNAcentral. Lineage: Eukaryota; Fungi; Ascomycota; Sordariomycetes; Xylariales; Xylariaceae.